UCUACAAGCGCUCAGAGCCCUAUGGUGGCAACACCAGGGUGAUGGGGUGCCUUUUGCAUAAUGAUCCGGCGACUUACCGUCACCAGCAAGGUUAACCAUUUCUGAUGGGUAGCCGAAGCGAAAGCGAGUCUGAACAGGGCGACAAGUUGGGGGCGGUAGACGCGAAACCACGUGAACUACGCAUGGCCAGGUUGAAGUGGGGGUAAUGCCUCAUGGAGGACCGAACUCACUAGUGUUGAAAAACUAGGGGAUGAGCUGUGUGGAGGAUUGAAAGUAUCAUCAAACGUGGAGAUAGCUCGUUCUCCGUGAAAUAACUUUAGGGUUAACGUCGAGGUAGUUGGCAAGGGAGGUAGAGCGACUGAAUCGGAAUGGGGGACUACCCGUCUACCCAUCCGAACCAAACUCCGAAUGCCCUUGUACCAAGCCUCGGCAGCUAGACGGCGGGGGAUAAGCUCCGUCGUCGAGAGGGGAACAACCCAGACCGCCCGCUAAGGCCCCCAAGUCACGCUCAGUGCGAAAGGAAGUUGGACUCCGAAGACAGUCCGGAUGUUGGCUUAGAAGCAGCCAUCAUUUCAAAAGUGCGUAAUAGCUUACGGAUCGAGGAGUCCUGCGCCGAUAAUGAACGGGACUAAGCGUGACGCCGAAGCGGCGGAUUGGCAGCAAUGCCAGUGGUAACGGAGCGUCGUGUGGCAGGGUGAAGGGGCACGGUAACGAGCCCUGGACGAGACACGAGUGAUCAUGCCGGAACGAGUAACGAUAAAACGGGUGAGAAUCCCGUUCGCCGAAAGCCUAAGGUUUCCUGGGGAAGGUAAAUCCGCCCAGGGUUAGUCGGCCCCUAAGGCGAGGCCGAAAGGCGUAGCCGAUGGAAGGCAGGUUAAUAUUCCUGCACCACCUACGUAGGUGAACACGUCAGGACGCUGGCCAGGAGGAGGUCGACCCGCUAGUCGUGGUCGUCUCGAAAGAGCGAGGGCACAUACGAUCCCGAAGCCCCCGAAUGGACAGUCUAGAAAAGCCGGCGUGGGACGAAGUAGGUGACCGUACUAAAACUGACACGGGUAGGCGAGAAGAAUAUUCUCAGGCGCUCGAGAGAACGCUGGUAAAGGAACUCGGCAAAUUAACCCCGUAACUUCGGGAAAAGGGGUGCUCCUCAGGGUGAAAGCCCCAGGGAGCCGCAGAGAAAUGGAUCUGGCGACUGUUUACUAAAAACACAGGACUCUGCGAACUCGUAAGAGGAAGUAUAGAGUCUGACGCCUGCCCGGUGUCGGUAGGUUAAGGGAGAGGGUUAGCCCCUUAAAAGGUGAAGCUCGCAACCGAAGCCCCGAUAAACGGCGGCCGUAACUAUGACGGUCCUAAGGUAGCGAAGUUCCUUGUCGGGUAAGUUCCGACCUGCAUGAAUGGCGUAACGACCGGAUCACUGUCUCUACCAGCGACUCGGUGAAACUGUAGUUGUUGUGAAGAUGCAACAUACCCG
RNAcentral lists this ribosomal RNA (1471 nucleotides) under metagenome. RNAcentral's name for it is "bacterial LSU rRNA". It matches the Rfam family "Bacterial large subunit ribosomal RNA", at positions 563 to 2072 of the family's 2925-position model. The record is from RNAcentral.